Molecule: transfer RNA, 67 nt
Filed under: Mooreobdella quaternaria
Lineage: Eukaryota; Metazoa; Annelida; Clitellata; Hirudinida; Erpobdellidae
Description: tRNA-Trp
Source: RNAcentral
AAGAUUUUAAGUUAUAUAAACUAAUAGCCUUCAAAGCUAUAAAUGGAAAACUAUUUUCCAAGUCUUG